This 371-nucleotide ribosomal RNA is filed under the name uncultured prokaryote. RNAcentral's name for it is "bacterial SSU rRNA". It matches the Rfam family "Bacterial small subunit ribosomal RNA", at positions 524 to 896 of the family's 1533-position model. The record is from RNAcentral.
UACGAAGGGUGCUAGCGUUGUUCGGAAUUACUGGGCGUAAAGCGCGCGUAGGCGGCGAUACAAGUCAGAGGUGAAAGCCUGGAGCUCAACUCCAGAAUUGCCUUUGAAACUGUAUUGCUUGAGUGUCGGAGGGGAUAGCGGAAUUGCUAAUGUAGAGGUGAAAUUCGUAGAUAUUAGCAGGAACACCGGUGGCGAAGGCGGCUAUCUGGACGACAACUGACGCUGAGGCGCGAAAGCGUGGGGAUCAAACAGGAUUAGAUACCCUGGUAGUCCACGCCGUAAACGAUGGGUGCUAGCUGUUCGGGGGUUACCCUUGAGUAGCGCAGCUAACGCGUUAAGCACCCCGCCUGGGGAGUACGGUCGCAAGAUUA